RNAcentral lists this ribosomal RNA (370 nucleotides) under uncultured bacterium. RNAcentral's name for it is "bacterial SSU rRNA". It matches the Rfam family "Bacterial small subunit ribosomal RNA", at positions 29 to 361 of the family's 1533-position model. The record is from RNAcentral.
ACGAACGCUGGCGGCGUGGCUAAGACAUGCAAGUCGUACGAUACGUUGUAGCAAUAUGGCGUAUAGUGGCGGACGGGUGAGUAAUGAAUAGGUAACGUACCCCGGGCACAGGAAUAGCGUCGGGUCCCGCAAGGGAUCCUUUGCGAAAGUGACGGUAAUACCUGGUGACGUCCUUGAGUGGCAUCAUUCGAGGACCAUACGGUGGGGGACCUUCGGGCCUAUCGGCCUGGGCGCGGCCUAUUUCCAUCAGCUUGUUGGUGAGGUAACGGCUCACCAAGGCUUCGACGGGUAACCGGACUGAGAGGUUGGCCGGUCGACAUCGGGACUGAGGACACCUGCCCGGACAUCUACGGAUGGCUGCAGUAACGAA